Molecule: small nuclear RNA, 107 nt
Filed under: Opisthocomus hoazin
Lineage: Eukaryota; Metazoa; Chordata; Aves; Opisthocomiformes; Opisthocomidae
Source: RNAcentral
GUGCUUGCUUCAGCAGCACAUGUACCAAAAUUGGAACAAUACAGAGCAGAUUAGCAUAUCCCCUGUGCAAGGAUGACAUGCAAAUUCAUGAAGCAUUCCAUAUUAUU